ACACGACUACAUUAGAUACCCGUGUAGUCCCAGCCCUAAACGAUGCGCGUUAGGUGUAUCGGUGACCACGAGUCACCGAGGUGCCGAAGGGAAACCGUGAAACGUGCCGCCUGGGAAGUACGGUCGCAAGGCUGAAACUUAAAGGAAUUGCGGGGGAGCACCACAACGGGUGGAGCCUGCGGUUUAAUUGGACUCAACGCCGGGAAGCUCACCGGAUAAGACAGCGGAAUGAUUGCCGGGCUGAAGACCCUGCAUGACCAGCUG
This 264-nucleotide ribosomal RNA is filed under the name uncultured archaeon. Its description in RNAcentral is "partial 16S ribosomal RNA". It matches the Rfam family "Archaeal small subunit ribosomal RNA", at positions 719 to 982 of the family's 1478-position model. The record is from RNAcentral.